GGGGAAGUGGAGUCAGUUGGAUACUGUGAGAAGAAGGAGGAAUAUGUGAUUAGAGGAGGUGACUAUGAGAAACAUCAAGGAGCUUUCAUACAUUGUGCUGUAUGUGAAAAGAGAGGAAAUUUCAAUCUUGUGUCUCAUUAGGAGAUCUUUAUCCCUGUGGAGACUUCCCUCUUACUUCACAAGAGCUUACUGCCUGUAAUAGGAUUUGGUGGACAACUCUGCUGAGUGCUUUCUGAGGAGCCUGGAGGAUUACACCAGAUUAGAUUUUUCUACCAUUUAUUUGUGAGGUGGACCUGUUGGAGCAAGUCUGGAGAAAGGCCAUGAAGAUCAUCUGGGGGCUGAAACAACUCUCCUAUGAAGACAGGAUGAGAGAGUUGGAUGAAGAAGAACAGGCUCCAGGGUUACCUUGAAGCAGCCUUCUGGUGACUGGAGUGGGCCUACAAGAAAACUGGGAAGCAUCUUUUUCCAAGGGCCUGUAGUGACAGGACAAGGGCAAUGGCUUUAAACUGAAAAAAGGUCCAUUUAGAUAUUAGGAGGAAAUUCUUGAAGGUGGUGAGGUACUGGAACAGGUUGCUCAGGGAAGUUGAGGCUGUUCUAUCCCUGAAAGUACUCAAGGCCUGGCUGGAUGGGACUUGGAGCACCCUGGUCCAGUGAAAGGCAUCCCAGCCCAUGGCCAGGUGUUUGGAACAGGAUGACCUUUAAGGUCCCUUUUAACCCUAAUCUUUUCAAGAUUCUGUAAUUUCCACUCAUACCUGUUUGUAUGUGAUUUUGAAAUAGAGGUUGGGAAAACUGCAUUUGUGUAGAUCUCUUCCUGAUUAAUGUUUGUAGACAUAACAGAAAUUGCAGUUUCCAUGUCAAUAAAUUGAAAAUUCUUGUGAUAUUUAUUUGUAUGGGCACAAUGAAGCUGACCUUCUUUGAAACUGGUAAAAAAAUUUAAGUGCAUUUAGUUAUAAGAAUUGUUUAAUUUCCUUCUUUGCUAAAAAACACACAUGCAUUAUAGAAAGACCCCCCAAGAUAAUAAUUCUAACUGAUCGUAGUCAAAUCAUGGAAGAGUGAGCAAUUUAUAAAUCAUGUUAGUUAAACCAUGAUAUUUAAAUAGAUAUUUAAUGCUUAACAUGCAUGAUACCUUAAAAUAAAACCAACAAAUCAAGACAAUUAAUGCAAAUGGGUUUCCAGACUACUACAAUGGUCUGAUGGAAGUAAAUAUUCGCAUUAUACACCCUUUCUGUGGCUCUUUGUCAAAACCACAUACCACCGAGAAUGUGAAAUGUGGCCAGAGCUGAUAAGACAAACAAAUUGUAUCUUUUCAGCAGUUUACGUAACUGAUUCUUCACGGACAAGCACUGUUCCAGACAAUUUUUCCAAUGGUACAAACAUAUAAAUGAGGUAAAAAUUGGUGACCUAAUAAAAUGAAACUUAAGCAAGGUACGAUUUUCUCUGUGUUGAGGUGGAACAUAUUUACAAUAAACAUUUGACAUGCUGG
Long non-coding RNA from Zonotrichia leucophrys gambelii, 1483 nucleotides. RefSeq lists it as uncharacterized. The transcript has 4 exons. The record is from RefSeq and is a predicted model, not a curated record. Lineage: Eukaryota; Metazoa; Chordata; Aves; Passeriformes; Passerellidae.